This 438-nucleotide ribosomal RNA is filed under the name uncultured bacterium. RNAcentral's name for it is "partial 16S ribosomal RNA". It matches the Rfam family "Bacterial small subunit ribosomal RNA", at positions 20 to 444 of the family's 1533-position model. The record is from RNAcentral.
UGGCUCAGGAUGAACGCUGGCGGCGUGCAUUUAGACAUGCAAGUCGAANGAAGCACCCUGCGCAGAUNGUUUCGAAGUGAAGCAAAGGGUGACNUANUGGAGAACGGNUGAGUAACAAGUGGGUGACAUGUCCCGAAAUGCNGCAUUACAGGGGGAAACUCAUGGUAAUCCCGCAUAAGAUCCCACCUUUUGUGGUGGGAGUAAAGAUUUAUCGUUGGGGAUGGGCUCGCGGUCCAUCAGGUAGUUGGUAGGGUAAUGGCCUAACAGGGNUAUGCGGCAUAGCGGGCCUGAGANGGUGCCCGGACACAGGGGCAAUGAGAUACGGGCGACUCUUNUACGGGAGGCAGCAGUUAGGAAUAUUCCACAAGGGGCAAAAGCGAGANGGAGCGACGCCGNAGAGGGACGAAGGCAAUGGGGUGUAAACCUCUAAAAGAGGGA